Molecule: ribosomal RNA, 504 nt
Filed under: uncultured bacterium
Lineage: Bacteria
Description: partial 16S ribosomal RNA
Rfam family: Bacterial small subunit ribosomal RNA
Source: RNAcentral
AUUGAACGCUGGCGGCAGGCCUAACACAUGCAAGUCGAGCGGUAGCACAGAGAGCUUGCUCUCGGGUGACGAGCGGCGGACGGGUGGGUAAUGUCUGGGAAACUGCCUGAUGGAGGGGGAUAACUACUGGAAACGGUAGCUAAUACCGCAUAACGUCGCAAGACCAAAGAGGGGGACCUUCGGGCCUCUUGCCAUCAGAUGUGCCCAGAUGGGAUUAGCUAGUAGGUGGGGUAACGGCUCACCUAGGCGACGAUCCCUAGCUGGUCUGAGAGGAUGACCAGCAACACUGGAACUGAGACACGGUCCAGACUCCUACGGGAGGCAGCAGUGGGGAAUAUUGCACAAUGGGCGCAAGCCUGAUGCAGCCAUGCCGCGUGUAUGAAGAAGGCCUUCGGGUUGUAAAGUACUUUCAGCGGGGAGGAAGGUGUUGAGGUUGAUAACCUCAGCAAUUGACGUUACCCGCAGAAGAAGCACCGGCUAACUCCGUGCCAGCAGCCGCCGCAA